AUACCUUUCUCGGCCUUCUGGCUAAGAUCAAGUGUAUUAUCUGUUCUUAUUAGUUUAAUAUCUAAUAUGUGGGCCAUUGGCUCACUCUUUAAUAAAUUAAUUUUUUUCAGGGGGAGGGCCCACUACUUUAUGUCUAAUUGGGUCUCUCAUGCGUCGCCUUGGUGUUGCACUAUUGUCUUGGCCUGGCGCACCCCAC
This is a small nuclear RNA of Rhododendron vialii, 196 nucleotides long. RefSeq annotates it as U2 spliceosomal RNA. Lineage: Eukaryota; Viridiplantae; Streptophyta; Magnoliopsida; Ericales; Ericaceae. The transcript has a single exon. The record is from RefSeq and is a predicted model, not a curated record.